This is a long non-coding RNA of Cavia porcellus (domestic guinea pig), 747 nucleotides long. RefSeq lists it as uncharacterized. The transcript has 4 exons. NCBI's taxonomy places the organism in Eukaryota, Metazoa, Chordata, Mammalia, Rodentia, Caviidae. The record is from RefSeq and is a predicted model, not a curated record.
UUGGAAGGUUUGGUUUCUCCUGAGUCUUUGCUCUUUGGCUUGCAGAUGGCAUGUUCUCCCUGUGCCUUUCCUUCUCUGUCUGUCUGCUUUCAAAUUUCCUGUUAAAAGACCUCCUCUCCCUCAGCCAGGCUGGACUGCACCUGCCCUGGCAAGUCCAGUCUACAUUAACCACAUCGGUAAGAUCUUUGUCUCCAAAUGCAGUCACACUCUGAGGCUCUGGGAGGCAGGAUGCCACCGCCUGAAUCUGGAGAGAAGACACCAUCCAUCCCCUCAUCGCUCCAUAGCAGUUCUCCCUGAGUCUUUAAACUGUCCAGGUUGGAUGUGAACUUGCAAUUGUCCUGUCUCAGCUUCUCUGAGUGCUGGAAUUAUAAACAUCACCAUCAUGCCUGGCUUCAAGAUACAGUAUUUUAAAAUUUAUUUCAAGCUUAAUAGACAAAGAAUAUGAAUAACCCUCAAUGCGAACUAAUAAUAACUGAAAGUUAAAUAUAAAGAAAUACAAGUUUAUUUAGCCCUUCAACAGUGUACAUUAACAGCUAAAGAGAGAUAUUAUCCCAGAAGUUUUCAUCCGCGGAUUGGAGCUCACCACAGGAAUAAUUUCUCAAUCAAUAGUACUCAGAUAAAAGCAGCUUUGAGCUUUGAAAAGAGAAUUGGAAGUGUUUCAAAGCAGGGUCUGCUGCUCAGAACACAGAGCUGGUUCAUUACCAUGAGAGUCCCUGGCUAAGCCCGGGCAAGGCCAACCACCAAAAG